Molecule: long non-coding RNA, 204 nt
Filed under: Capsicum annuum
Lineage: Eukaryota; Viridiplantae; Streptophyta; Magnoliopsida; Solanales; Solanaceae
Description: long non-coding RNA (CANN_LNC015850)
Source: RNAcentral
CGGGUACGAGGCAAACCUGUCACAAAGUCUAUGUUCACUUCCUCCUAUUUCUACAUGGGCCUACUGAACUCUGCACCCAUAUACUACUUUCUGCUGAAUCGAGUAAAUGGACAGCUAGUUGGGUAAGCUGAUGGACUUCCUGAGCUAACUUCUUCUUAUCAUCCUCAAUAUGAGCAACACUACCCAUCGACAAUCUACUGAGAG